GAUGAACGCUGGCGGCGUGCCUAAUACAUGCAAGUCGAGCGAACAGACGAGGAGCUUGCUCCUCUGACGUUAGCGGCGGACGGGUGAGUAACACGUGGAUAACCUACCUAUAAGACUGGGAUAACUUCGGGAAACCGGAGCUAAUACCGGAUAAUAUAUUGAACCGCAUGGUUCAAUAGUGAAAGACGGUUUUGCUGUCACUUAUAGAUGGAUCCGCGCCGCAUUAGCUAGUUGGUAAGGUAACGGCUUACCAAGGCAACGAUGCGUAGCCGACCUGAGAGGGUGAUCGGCCACACUGGAACUGAGACACGGUCCAGACUCCUACGGGAGGCAGCAGUAGGGAAUCUGCCGCAAUGGGCGAAAGCUUGACGGAGCAACGCCGCGUGAAUGAUGAAGGUCUUCGGAUCGUAAAACUCUGUUAUUAGGGAAGAACAAAUGUGUAAGUAACUAUGCACGUCUUGACGGUACCUAAUCAGAAAGCCACGGCUAACUACGUG
This 497-nucleotide ribosomal RNA is filed under the name uncultured bacterium. RNAcentral's name for it is "partial 16S ribosomal RNA". It matches the Rfam family "Bacterial small subunit ribosomal RNA", at positions 28 to 507 of the family's 1533-position model. The record is from RNAcentral.